CUCUAGGUCUAGUAGGGGAACACAUCUGGUCAGCUCUCCUCUAGGUCUAGUCGGGGAACACAUCUGGUCAGCUCUCCUCUAGGUCUAGUCGGGGAACACAUCUGGUCAGCUCUCCUCUAGGUCUAGUCGGGGAACACAUCUGGUCAGCUCUCCUCUAGGUCUAGUCGGGGAACACAUCUGGUCAGCUCUCCUCUAGGUCUAGUCGGGGAACACAUCUGGUCAGCUCUCCUCUAGGUCUAGUAGGGGAACACAUCUGGUCAGCUCUCCUCUAGGUCUAGUAGGGGAACACAUCUGGUCAGCUCUCCUCUAGGUCUAGUCGGGGAACACAUCUGGUCAGCUCUCCUCUAGGUCUAGUCGGGGAACACAUCUGGUCAGCUCUCCUCUAGGUCUAGUCAGGGGAACACAUCUGGUCAGCUCUCCUCUAGGUCUAGUAGGGGGAACACAUCUGGUCAGCUCUCCUCUAGGUCUAGUAGGGGAACACAUCUGGUCAGCUCUCCUCUAGGUCUAGUAGGGGAACACAUCUGGUCAGCUCUCCUCUAGGUCUAGUAGGGGAACACAUCUGGUCAGCUCUCCUCUAGGUCUAGUCGGGGAACACAUCUGGUCAGCUCUCCUCUAGGUCUAGUAGGGGAACACAUCUGGUCAGCUCUCCUCUAGGUCUAGUCGGGGAACACAUCUGGUCAGCUCUCCUCUAGGUCUAGUCGGGGAACACAUCUGGUCAGCUCUCCUCUAGGUCUAGUCGGGGAACACAUCUGGUCAGCUCUCCUCUAGGUCUAGUCUGAACACAUCUGGUCAGCUCUCCUCUAGGUCUAGUCGGGGAACA
This is a long non-coding RNA of Oncorhynchus gorbuscha (pink salmon), 820 nucleotides long. RefSeq lists it as uncharacterized. The record is from RefSeq and is a predicted model, not a curated record. Lineage: Eukaryota; Metazoa; Chordata; Actinopteri; Salmoniformes; Salmonidae. The transcript is spliced from 3 exons.